UUUGUCGUUCGUCAAAAACCCUGUGUAGUCGAUGACGCUGAUUGACGACGCUUAAAUUAGUGACCCCCUUAGCCUUAGACAAAUCUAGAAAAUUUGUAGUGUGCGAGAAAGCCCCGCAAUCCUUUUCGACUACGCGCAGAACACAUCCAAGUUUGUGUCUGCCGGCGUUGGCAUUGAUUCCUCUGAAAGAACCAUCUUUGGUGGCCAGGUUUGAAACGGGCGUCUCCAUCAUGCUGCAGUGGUAAUACGUUGGCGACACGUGGUCGCUUAGGAUCGAAACCGGUCGUAGACACUUCCUGUUUGGUGCCACAAGGUACCAGCCGUGUGAAGCAGUGCUUAACGUCAAUUACGGACUAAAAAUACAGCUUUAUUUCGGUUAGGAACUGGAUAUAAAUACGCUCAGUUUCGUGCAUGGAGGAACCAACCGUGAGAAGCAAUGCUUAAUUAAGAUAGUAUCGGAGGCAGAACGUUUAAACUAAUCUGGUUUAACGAUUUGGAUGGGGACACUUACGGCUAAGAUGUAAUGUGCAUGCAUGGACGAAACUAUAACUUGAAGUUAGGAUAAGGAGAUCAGGAAAUGCUAAAGUGCGUGGGGCUGGAACUCCAACUAGCCAGGACAAUGCUACGGCAGCAACUUUUCAAAGGCCUG
Molecule: long non-coding RNA, 649 nt
Organism: Varroa destructor (honeybee mite)
Lineage: Eukaryota; Metazoa; Arthropoda; Arachnida; Mesostigmata; Varroidae
Source: RefSeq, a predicted model, not a curated record